This 396-nucleotide ribosomal RNA is filed under the name uncultured bacterium. RNAcentral's name for it is "partial 16S ribosomal RNA". It matches the Rfam family "Bacterial small subunit ribosomal RNA", at positions 523 to 918 of the family's 1533-position model. The record is from RNAcentral.
AUACGUAGGGCGCGAGCGUUGUCCGGAAUUACUGGGUGUAAAGGGUGCGUAGGCGGGACGACAAGUCAGAUGUGAAAUACCGGGGCUCAACCCCGGGGCUGCAUUUGAAACUGUCGGUCUUGAGUGAGGUAGAGGUAAGCGGAAUUCCUAGUGUAGCGGUGAAAUGCGUAGAUAUUAGGAGGAACAUCGGUGGCGAAGGCGGCUUACUGGGGCUUUUGUGACGCUUAGGCACGAAAGCGUGGGGAGCAAACAGGAGUAGAUACCCUGGUCGUCCACGUUGUGAACUAUGAUGACUAGGUGUGGUGGGACUGAACCCUUCCGUGUCGCAGUUAACACAAUAAGUCAUCCCCCUGGGGAGUACGGCCGCAAGGUUGAAACUCAAAUGAAUUGACGGGG